RNAcentral lists this ribosomal RNA (253 nucleotides) under uncultured bacterium. RNAcentral describes it as "partial 16S ribosomal RNA". It matches the Rfam family "Bacterial small subunit ribosomal RNA", at positions 524 to 776 of the family's 1533-position model. The record is from RNAcentral.
UACAGAGGGUGCGAGCGUUGUUCGGAAUUAUUGGGCGUAAAGGGCGCGUAGGCGGCCUGGCAAGUGGAAGGUGAAAUCCCUCGGCUUAACCGAGGAACUGCCUUCCAAACUGCUUGGCUUGAGUCCGGGAGAGGUUAGUGGAAUUCCCAGUGUAGCGGUGAAAUGCGUAGAUAUUGGGAGGAACACCAGUGGCGAAGGCGGCUCACUGGACCGGAACUGACGCUGAUGCGCGAAAGCGUGGGGAGCAAACGGG